This is a non-coding RNA of Homo sapiens (human), 328 nucleotides long. Lineage: Eukaryota; Metazoa; Chordata; Mammalia; Primates; Hominidae. The record is from the annotation of a RefSeq genome assembly.
AUGAGGCAAGUGGCGAGAGUGAUCGUGUUCCUGACCCUGAGUACUUUGAGCCUUGCUAAGACCACCCAGCCCAUCUCCAUGGACUCAUAUGAAGGACAAGAAGUGAACAUAACCUGUAGCCACAACAACAUUGCUACAAAUGAUUAUAUCACGUGGUACCAACAGUUUCCCAGCCAAGGACCACGAUUUAUUAUUCAAGGAUACAAGACAAAAGUUACAAACGAAGUGGCCUCCCUGUUUAUCCCUGCCGACAGAAAGUCCAGCACUCUGAGCCUGCCCCGGGUUUCCCUGAGCGACACUGCUGUGUACUACUGCCUCGUGGGUGACA